CUCACAUGUGGCAUUUCCCCGUGGUAUCAGAGCAGGACUACAGACCUCCCAUAGGAGAGAUCAAGCUACCUUUCACCUAUGAAAUGUGUUUGUUCCACUCUGAGAGGGCUGCAGUCCUUGUGAUGGGGAUAUCAUUAAAAGGCACGGGGGAGCUAGAGUCAACUUUGGAGAGACUCAUAGAUGAAUGGUAACGCGAGUCCUGCUGAGAUCUGAGCCUCAGCAUCCAGGGAUUCUGAACGUUUGAAGCAGCUGCUGAGCCCACUAAGCCAGGGCUCCACCUCCAGCAGGACAGCCACUCUGCACAGGAGCUCACUUCACCAGCCGUUUCCCCACCACCCAGGUGGGAAGUUCUGUGGAAGCCAUACUACUUGAGAAGUUGAACAGACAUCCUCAAUAAUCAGGUGAUCAGGAGGGGAAUCACAACACAUU
Molecule: non-coding RNA, 429 nt
Organism: Heterocephalus glaber (naked mole-rat)
Lineage: Eukaryota; Metazoa; Chordata; Mammalia; Rodentia; Bathyergidae
Source: RefSeq, a predicted model, not a curated record